This 24-nucleotide non-coding RNA is filed under the name Arabidopsis thaliana (thale cress). Lineage: Eukaryota; Viridiplantae; Streptophyta; Magnoliopsida; Brassicales; Brassicaceae. The record is from RNAcentral.
AGGGCCUCACCUAAAAGCCUCCGG